UUACAUACCUGGAUGGAGUCAAUGGGUGAUCACGAAGGCCCAUGGCUUAGACCUGGGACCUCCAUUGCACUUGGGAGGGGCCCAAGUCUAAGGUCUGCCUAAAUGGUAGAGCCUACAUCAUAAUUUGUGGCAGUGGGGGCUUGUGUUCGCACGGCCCCUUC
Molecule: small nuclear RNA, 161 nt
Organism: Prosopis cineraria
Lineage: Eukaryota; Viridiplantae; Streptophyta; Magnoliopsida; Fabales; Fabaceae
Product: U1 spliceosomal RNA
Exons: 1
Source: RefSeq, a predicted model, not a curated record